CAAGACGCUCAUCAGAUCCUCCUCACUCCCUUUCCUGCUGUCAGACUGGUUCUUGCUGGGAAGCAGGAAGAGCUCCGCAGCUGUCGGGAGUCCAGGGAAAACAGCCACCAGCAGCUGCUCAGCAGGAAUAUCAGCUAUCUAUAAGAAGAAAAAAGAGGAUCUGAAGGUAAAACAUCUGUCUCCAGAUGAAUCUUCAAAAGCCACCAGAAGUAGGUGAGGGUUCGAGAGUAAGAGGGCCAGACCACUGCAGUCAAAUUCACUUCCUUGUUCUUAAUAACUACAAAUGGAGCUAGCAACUGGAUAUGUUCAACAGGAGCUGAAACACAAACAUGGACAUAUUUAAGACAGUGAAUUCAAGCUCAU
This is a long non-coding RNA of Tachysurus vachellii, 363 nucleotides long. RefSeq lists it as uncharacterized. The transcript is spliced from 3 exons. The record is from RefSeq and is a predicted model, not a curated record. NCBI's taxonomy places the organism in Eukaryota, Metazoa, Chordata, Actinopteri, Siluriformes, Bagridae.